This is a long non-coding RNA of Fopius arisanus, 630 nucleotides long. RefSeq lists it as uncharacterized. The record is from RefSeq and is a predicted model, not a curated record. The transcript has 4 exons. Lineage: Eukaryota; Metazoa; Arthropoda; Insecta; Hymenoptera; Braconidae.
AAGACAGAGGCUUUGGACUCGCUGAUGAUUAUCAAGACGAUGAAACAUCCUGACAGGAGUUUUAACAGACGCACACCCUUUGAGAUAUUCAUUUCGUCACGUUUUCUUCUGUCAGACAACUUGAGAUGAUUACGGUAUUCGUUGGAUUGCCCGUUGGAGGAAAAUACGAGAGGGUGAAAUAACGUGGCAUAAGAUACUUGGAGUAGCGAAAGUGACUCGAACUCCUAGAGGUGUUGGGAUGCAGCGUUGACAGACAUAUGAGGAUUCCAGCGGCGAGAUCGGAUAUGUGCGCCGACUACCGAAAACCCCGUUGUCAAUGAAGAAACUUUUAUUUUCAAUUCUCCUCCUCAAUAUUUCUUGAAAGAAUCAUUGAGACUAAAUACGGAGAAUUGUUGGCGGAACACUGUCAUCUCCAACGUCUCACUUACACUGCAAGACUAAAUUACGACAGUCCCAGAAGAAGAGAUCAACCUCUUUUUUUUUUCACCCUCUGUUAUUUACAUCACAGCUAAGGCACUCACGAAGCUUUAAACAUAAACAUGGGAGGUGCGAUUUGACGUACAAGCGAGAGGAAAAGCCCUUUACAUUGGGGUAUGGAGUCUGCUUUGAGAGUAUCCAAAGAGGAAGAGU